This 497-nucleotide ribosomal RNA is filed under the name uncultured bacterium. Its description in RNAcentral is "partial 16S ribosomal RNA". It matches the Rfam family "Bacterial small subunit ribosomal RNA", at positions 28 to 507 of the family's 1533-position model. The record is from RNAcentral.
GAUGAACGCUGGCGGCGUGCCUAAUACAUGCAAGUCGAGCGAACGGACGAGAAGCUUGCUUCUCUGAUGUUAGCGGCGGACGGGUGAGUAACACGUGGAUAACCUACCUAUAAGACUGGGAUAACUUCGGGAAACCGGAGCUAAUACCGGAUGAUAUUUUGAACCGCAUGGUUCAAAAGUGAAAGACGGUCUUGCUGUCACUUAUAGAUGGAUCCGCGCUGCAUUAGCUAGUUGGUAAGUUAACGGCUUACCAAGGCAACGAUGCAUAGCCGACCUGAGAGGGGGAUCGGCCACACUGGAACGGAGACACGGUCCAGACUCCUACGGGAGGCAGCAGUAGGGAAUCUUACGCAGUGGGCGAAAGCCUGACGGAGCAACGCCGCGUGAGUGAUGAAGGUCUUCGGAUCGUAAAACUCUGUUAUUAGGGAAGAACAUAUGUGUAAGUAACUGUGCACAUCUUGACGGUACCUAAUCAGAAAGCCACGGCUAACUACGUG